UCCCUACGGGUGGCUGCAGUGAGGAAUUUUGCGCAAUAGGGGAAACCCUGACGCAGCAACGCCGCGUGAGUGAAGAAGGCCCUCGGGUCGUAAAGCUAUGUCAAGUGGGAAAAAAGCUUGUUGGUGAAUAGCCAGCAAGACUGAUGGUACCAUUGAAGGAAGCACCGGCUAACUCCGUGCCAGCAGCCGCGGUAAUACGGAGGGUGCAAGCGUUGUUCGGAAUUACUGGGCGUAAAGGGCGUGUAGGCGGGGUGGUAAGUCAGAUGUGAAAGCCCUGGGCUUAACCCAGGAAGUGCAUUUGAAACUGCCAUGCUUGAGUAUGGGAGAGGAGAGUGGAAUUCCCAGUGUAGAGGUGAAAUUCGUAGAUAUUGGGAGGAACACCCGUGGCGAAGGCGACUCUCUGGACCAAUACUGACGCUGAGGCGCGAAAGCGUGGGGAGCAAACAGGAUUAGAUACCCCUGUAGUCAC
This 469-nucleotide ribosomal RNA is filed under the name uncultured Desulfarculaceae bacterium. Its description in RNAcentral is "bacterial SSU rRNA". It matches the Rfam family "Bacterial small subunit ribosomal RNA", at positions 335 to 798 of the family's 1533-position model. Lineage: Bacteria; Pseudomonadati; Thermodesulfobacteriota; Desulfarculia; Desulfarculales; Desulfarculaceae. The record is from RNAcentral.